AAGAGGGUAAAAUUGUUUACUGUUAAUAAAAGAAGAAGUUCAAACAACUAUACAUAUUCUAAUUGAAAUUAAAUUAGGUGAGUGAAAAUUAGGAUAAAAUUAUUGCACAUCAGAUGUAAGUAUGCACAUUAUGAAACUCUGUGAGCUCAACAGAGAUGAACAAAUAAAUAAACCCAAGAACAAAAAUUCGGAAAAACAAUGAUAUUUCAAACCACAUUCAAUCAAAUAUUGCAUUAACAAAAAGUUAACUGCCAAAAGAAUAAAAAAAACACACCAAUUCCAACCAUUUUCGUCACUAAAAAAGCUUCAAUAAUUUUUCCGGAAAAAUGAUUAGACAAAUCAAUUAAGUAAAAGAACCCUUUAAAAAAUAAAUAAAUCAUCAAGGAAACAAAAGGAACAUACCCAAUUGAAAAAAGAAAAUCUUUA
RNAcentral lists this unclassified non-coding RNA (426 nucleotides) under Hevea brasiliensis (rubber tree). Lineage: Eukaryota; Viridiplantae; Streptophyta; Magnoliopsida; Malpighiales; Euphorbiaceae. The record is from RNAcentral.